GAUGAAGAACGUAGCGAAAUGCGAUACGUAAUGUGAAUUGCAAAUUCAGUGAAUCAUCGAGUCUUUGAACGCACAUUGCGCCCCCUGGUAUUCCGGUGGGCAUGCCUGUCCGAGCGUCAUUGCUGCCCUCAAGCACGGCUUGUGUGUUGGGCCCCGUCCUCCGAUCCCGGGGGACGGGCCCGAAAGGCAGCGGCGGCACCGCGUCCGGUCCUCGAGCGUAUGGGGCUUUGUCACCCGCUCUGUAGGCCCGGCCGGCGCUUGCCGAUCAACCCAAAUUUUUAUCCAGGUUGACCUCGGAUCAGGUAGGGAUACCCGCUGAACUUAAGCAUAUCAUAAGCGGAGGA
RNAcentral lists this unclassified non-coding RNA (344 nucleotides) under soil metagenome. RNAcentral's name for it is "partial contains 5.8S ribosomal RNA, internal transcribed spacer 2, and large subunit ribosomal RNA". The stretch from base 1 to 119 matches the Rfam family "5.8S ribosomal RNA", at positions 35 to 154 of the family's 154-position model. The record is from RNAcentral.